Molecule: ribosomal RNA, 252 nt
Filed under: uncultured microorganism
Description: partial 16S ribosomal RNA
Rfam family: Archaeal small subunit ribosomal RNA
Source: RNAcentral
GCGCAGCAGUCGCGAAACCUCCGCAAUACACGAAAGUGUGACGGGCCAUCCCGAUGCCGUCCGCUGAGGACGGCUUUUUCCCCCAGUGUACACAGCUGGGGGAAUAAGGAGAGGGCAAGCCUGGUGUCAGCCGCCGCGGUAAUACCAGCUCUCCGAGUGGUGGGGACGCUUAUUGGGCCUAAAGCAUCCGUAGCCGGCUGGGCAAGUCCUCCGUUAAAUCCAACGAUUCAAUCGUUGGGCUGCGGGGGAUAC